This 606-nucleotide long non-coding RNA is filed under the name Phoenix dactylifera (date palm). RNAcentral describes it as "long non-coding RNA (PDAC_LNC020465)". Lineage: Eukaryota; Viridiplantae; Streptophyta; Magnoliopsida; Arecales; Arecaceae. The record is from RNAcentral.
UUCUAAUUUUCCUGUGGUGGGCCUUAUGUAGGACCAAUCCAAGAUGUAUUUGCAACCCUCACUCAUGGCACGUGGCAAUCCAGAUGAAAUCCUUCAUGAUUCCAAUACCCUGCCUUCUAGUUCGUGUGUCUGCCAGAGAAGAUAGACAGGUUCAAGUUUACAAAUACCACGACGGAAAGCAUGCCAAUAAAUCAUAUGCCACUACAUUUUGGAGUCCUGAAGAACUGCAACCACGACAUCAGAAUGAUGAAUUUAAAGAUGGCUCGGCAAUACUUCUGUAGUUUAACCAAAUAUAUAGGCUGUUGUGGAAGGCAACUAACCUUAGCCAAUCCAUAAAGUGCUUCACAAGAUAUUUCUAUAGCUCUAGUAUAGCAAAUUGAACAAAGCUACUAGUAAAGGAUGUGCAAAUACAUGUGUACUAGGGAAAGAAAACAAUUGUACGAUCAAUCGCAUCUUAGCUAUAAAAAUUCAUUGAUGCAGUAGUACUAUAUCACCUGGGACAUUGAUUUACGUUAAAAUCUUAGCUUUACAUUAGUGCCUUUGAUUGCCCAUCCGAUUGGAAAAAAAUAUAUAUAAUAAAACAUUGUUUUAAACUACGAUUGUUAC